Molecule: ribosomal RNA, 806 nt
Filed under: Fusarium graminearum
Lineage: Eukaryota; Fungi; Ascomycota; Sordariomycetes; Hypocreales; Nectriaceae
Description: partial large subunit ribosomal RNA
Rfam family: Eukaryotic large subunit ribosomal RNA
Source: RNAcentral
UAGUAACGGCGAGUGAAGCGGCAACAGCUCAAAUUUGAAAUCUGGCUUUCGGGCCCGAGUUGUAAUUUGUAGAGGAUGAUUUUGAUGCGGUGCCUUCCGAGUUCCCUGGAACGGGACGCCAUAGAGGGUGAGAGCCCCGUCUGGUUGGAUGCCAAAUCUCUGUAAAUCUCCUUCGACGAGUCGAGUAGUUUGGGAAUGCUGCUCUAAAUGGGAGGUAUAUGUCUUCUAAAGCUAAAUACCGGCCAGAGACCGAUAGCGCACAAGUAGAGUGAUCGAAAGAUGAAAAGCACUUUGAAAAGAGAGUUAAAAAGUACGUGAAAUUGUUGAAAGGGAAGCGUUUAUGACCAGACUUGGGCUUGGUUAAUCAUCUGGGGUUCUCUCCAGUGCACUUUUCCAGUCCAGGCCAGCAUCAGUUUUCGCCGGGGGAUAAAGGCUUCGGGAAUGUGGCUCCCCUCGGGGAGUGUUAUAGCCCGUUGUGUAAUACCCUGGUGGGGACUGAGGUUCGCGCUUCUGCAAGGAUGCUGGCGUAAUGGUCAUCAACGACCCGUCUUGAAACACGGACCAAGGAGUCGUCUUCGUAUGCGAGUGUUCGGGUGUCAAACCCCUACGCGUAAUGAAAGUGAACGCAGGUGAGAGCUUCGGCGCAUCAUCGACCGAUCCUGAUGUUCUCGGAUGGAUUUGAGUAAGAGCAUACGGGGCCGGACCCGAAAGAAGGUGAACUAUGCCUGUGUAGGGUGAAGCCAGAGGAAACUCUGGUGGAGGCUCGCAGCGGUUCUGACGUGCAAAUCGAUCGUCAAACAUGGGCA